This 1376-nucleotide ribosomal RNA is filed under the name metagenome. RNAcentral describes it as "bacterial SSU rRNA". It matches the Rfam family "Bacterial small subunit ribosomal RNA". The record is from RNAcentral.
AAACGCGUAUGCAACCUACCUUAUACUGGGGGAUAGCCCAGAGAAAUCUGGAUUAAUACCGCAUAACAAUCAUGAUUCGCAUGUUUUAUGAUUUAAAACUCCGGUGGUAUAAGAUGGGCAUGCGUAGCAUUAGUUAGUUGGUAAGGUAACGGCUUACCAAGACAAUGAUGCUUAGGGGGUCUGAGAGGAUAGUCCCCCACACUGGUACUGAGACACGGACCAGACUCCUACGGGAGGCAGCAGUGAGGAAUAUUGGUCAAUGGGCGAAAGCCUGAACCAGCCAUGUCGCGUGCAGGAUGACGGCCCUAUGGGUUGUAAACUGCUUUUUUACAGGAAUAAUUGCAGAUACGUGUAUUUGUUUGAAUGUACUGUAUGAAUAAGGAUCGGCUAACUCCGUGCCAGCAGCCGCGGUAAUACGGAGGAUUCGAGCGUUAUCCGGAUUUAUUGGGUUUAAAGGGUCCGUAGGCGGUUCUUUAAGUCAGUGGUGAAAUCCCAGAGCUCAACUCUGGAACUGCCAUUGAAACUGAAGAACUUGAAUAUGGUUGAGGUAGGCGGAGUACGUUAUGUAGCGGUGAAAUGCAUAGAUAUAACGUAGAACACCAAUUGCGAAGGCAGCUUACUAAGCCAUUAUUGACGCUGAUGGAGGAAAGCGUGGGGAGCGAACAGGAUUAGAUACCCUGGUAGUCCACGCCGUAAACGAUGAUUACUCGUUGUGCACAAUACACCGUGCGUGACUGAGCGAAAGCAUUAAGUAAUCCACCUGGGGAGUACGUUCGCAAGAAUGAAACUCAAAGGAAUUGACGGGGGCCCGCACAAGCGGAGGAACAUGUGGUUUAAUUCGAUGAUACGCGAGGAACCUUACCUGGACUUAAAUGUAGUUUGACCGGCUUGGAAACAGGUCUUCCCUUCGGGGCAAAUUACAAGGUGCUGCAUGGUUGUCGUCAGCUCGUGCCGUGAGGUGUCGGGUUAAGUCCCAUAACGAGCGCAACCCCUAUCGUUAGUUGCUAGCAGGUAAUGCUGAGGACUCUAAUGAGACUGCCUCCGUAAGGUGAGAGGAAGGUGGGGAUGACGUCAAAUCAGCACGGCCCUUACGUCCAGGGCUACACACGUGUUACAAUGGCCAGUACAAAGGGCAGCUACCUGGUGACAGGAUGCUAAUCUCAAAAGCUGGUCUCAGUUCGGAUCGGAGUCUGCAACUCGACUCCGUGAAGUUGGAUUCGCUAGUAAUCGUAUAUCAGCAAUGAUACGGUGAAUACGUUCCCGGGCCUUGUACACACCGCCCGUCAAGCCAUGGAAGCCGAGGGUGCCCGAAGUACGUUACCGCAAGGAGCGUCCUAGGGUAAAAUUGGUAACUGGGGCUAAGUCGAAACAAGGUA